This is a non-coding RNA of Arachis ipaensis, 391 nucleotides long. Lineage: Eukaryota; Viridiplantae; Streptophyta; Magnoliopsida; Fabales; Fabaceae. The record is from RefSeq and is a predicted model, not a curated record.
UUCACCUAAAUCUUAAUAUUAGAAUAACCAUCUAUACAUCUAGUAAAAUGAACAUUCGAUAUAUCCAUUAUUCACAUUGUUUAAUAUUUUCAUUGUUUACUUAUACUUUUCUAUAACUAAAUUACGUUGACAUAUACGUUGUUAGGUUCAUCGAGAUGGACAACAGAGUACGGACCAUUAUGAGGACAGCUUUGUUGGACAUCAUAUGACGGUCCCCAGCUCCAGGCAAUGUGUCACGACUGGUUGAGGAGUUGUCGGGAGGUUUACACGUGGAGGAUAGUGGUAUAGUCUAUUUUUAAUAUAUAAAAGUAGAUACAUAAGUAUGUACCACAUUACUUUUGAGAUAUUUAUUUCCUCCUACUAAUGCCAUGUCAGCAAUAUUUCUUACUUA